UGGGGGAUAUUGGACAAUGGGGGCAACCCUGAUCCAGCGAUGCCGCGUGUGUGAAGAAGGCCUGCGGGUUGUAAAGCACUUUUGGUUAUGAGGAGAAGCGUCCAAUGAAUAGUUGGAUGUAGAGACGUUAGUAACAGAAUAAGCACCGGCUAACUCUGUGCCAGCAGCCGCGGUAAUACAGAGGGUGCGAGCGUUAAUCGGAAUUACUGGGCGUAAAGGGCGCGUAGGCGGCGCGAUAAGUGAGCUGUGAAAAUCAUGGGCUUAACCUGUGAAAGAAAGCUCAUACUGUCGAGCUAGAGUACAGGAGAGGGAAGUGGAAUUUCCGGUGUAGCGGUGAAAUGCGUAGAUAUCGGAAGGAACACUCGAGGCGAAGGCGACUUUCUGGCCUGGAACUGACGCU
This 400-nucleotide ribosomal RNA is filed under the name uncultured bacterium. RNAcentral describes it as "bacterial SSU rRNA". It matches the Rfam family "Bacterial small subunit ribosomal RNA", at positions 355 to 747 of the family's 1533-position model. The record is from RNAcentral.